UAGGGAAUCUUCCGCAAUGGACGAAAGUCUGACGGAGCAACGCCGCGUGAGUGAUGAAGGUUUUCGGAUCGUAAAGCUCUGUUGUUAGGGAAGAACAAGUACCGUUCGAAUAGGGCGGUACCUUGACGGUACCUAACCAGAAAGCCACGGCUAACUACGUGCCAGCAGCCGCGGUAAUACGUAGGUGGCAAGCGUUGUCCGGAAUUAUUGGGCGUAAAGGGCUCGCAGGCGGUUUCUUAAGUCUGAUGUGAAAGCCCCCGGCUCAACCGGGGAGGGUCAUUGGAAACUGGGGAACUUGAGUGCAGAAGAGGAGAGUGGAAUUCCACGUGUAGCGGUGAAAUGCGUAGAGAUGUGGAGGAACACCAGUGGCGAAGGCGACUCUCUGGUCUGUAACUGACG
Molecule: ribosomal RNA, 399 nt
Filed under: uncultured bacterium
Lineage: Bacteria
Description: bacterial SSU rRNA
Rfam family: Bacterial small subunit ribosomal RNA
Source: RNAcentral